RNAcentral lists this ribosomal RNA (468 nucleotides) under uncultured bacterium. Its description in RNAcentral is "partial 16S ribosomal RNA". It matches the Rfam family "Bacterial small subunit ribosomal RNA", at positions 28 to 507 of the family's 1533-position model. The record is from RNAcentral.
GACGAACGCUGGCGGCGUGCUUAACACAUGCAAGUCGAACGGAAAGGCCCUGCUUUUGUGGGGUGCUCGAGUGGCGAACGGGUGAGUAACACGUGAGUAACCUACCCUUGACUUUGGGAUAACUUCAGGAAACUGGGGCUAAUACCGGAUAGGAGCUCCUGCUGCAUGGUGGGGGUUGGAAAGUUUCGGCGGUUGGGGAUGGACUCGCGGCUUAUCAGCUUGUUGGUGGGGUAGUGGCUUACCAAGGCUUUGACGGGUAGCCGGCCUGAGAGGGUGACCGGCCACAUUGGGACUGAGAUACGGACCAGACUCCUACGGGAGGCAGCAGUGGGGAAUAUUGCACAAUGGGCGGAAGCCUGAUGCAGCAACGCCGCGUGCGGGAUGACGGCCUUCGGGUUGUAAACCGCUUUCGCCUGUGACGAAGCGUGAGUGACGGUAAUGGGUAAAGAAGCACCGGCUAACUACGUG